This 450-nucleotide ribosomal RNA is filed under the name uncultured bacterium. Its description in RNAcentral is "bacterial SSU rRNA". It matches the Rfam family "Bacterial small subunit ribosomal RNA", at positions 354 to 796 of the family's 1533-position model. The record is from RNAcentral.
GUGGGGAAUAUUGGACAAUGGGCGAAAGCCUGAUCCAGCCAUGCCGCGUGUGUGAAGAAGGUCUUCGGAUUGUAAAGCACUUUAAGUUGGGAGGAAGGGCAGUAAGUUAAUACCUUGCUGUUUUGACGUUACCGACAGAAUAAGCACCGGCUAACUUCGUGCCAGCAGCCGCGGUAAUACGAAGGGUGCAAGCGUUAAUCGGAAUUACUGGGCGUAAAGCGCGCGUAGGUGGUUUUGUAAGUUGGAGGUGAAAUCCCCGGGCUCAACCUGGGAACUGCCCCCAAAACUGCAUGACUAGAGUACGGUAGAGGGUAGUGGAAUUUCCUGUGUAGCGGUGAAAUGCGUAGAUAUAGGAAGGAACACCAGUGGCGAAGGCGACUACCUGGACUGAUACUGACACUGAGGUGCGAAAGCGUGGGGAGCAAACAGGAUUAGAUACCCCUGUAGUCC